Molecule: unclassified non-coding RNA, 1269 nt
Filed under: Rhopalosiphum maidis (corn leaf aphid)
Lineage: Eukaryota; Metazoa; Arthropoda; Insecta; Hemiptera; Aphididae
Description: uncharacterized LOC113561090, transcript variant X2
Source: RNAcentral
GAUAAUAUUUUGAUCUCAUAAAUUGAAUAUUCGAAUAUCGAAUGACCGAUUGCCAAAGUUGUCGAUCUAUAGUUAUUAUUGCUUGUCAAUUGUUAUUCCUGCUUUUUUUAAAUAUUCAUAUCAUUUUUGCAUUAAUAUGAAAUUGAGUGGUGAUACUGUCCUACCUAAUUGGGUAUUCACAACUAAUUCCUAUGUAAGAGCAUUAUGUAAAAUUGCAUACUUGUAGAUGAGCCGUCAGAAUGACAGUCGCGGCAUUGGAUAAAUAUCAUUUGGGCAUUAGUGCCAUUGUUGUUGUGGCUAUGCAACUUUUAUUUUUCACUGUUGCUGUCACAUUUCAGUAUGAUAAAGUGGCCGACUUUGCUGGUGGUAUAAGUUUUAUUUUAGUGGCUGUGCUAACAUAUGGAUUAGCUCAGACACAUGAUAAUCGACAAUUUAUGGUUACAUUAUUUGUAUGUAUUUGGGGUGCCCGAUUAAGUUCAUAUUUGUUUUAUCGAAUAAUAAAAAUUGGUAGAGAUGCUACAUUUCCAGACAGACGUAGCAAUAUGAUUCGCUUUGCUGUGUUUUGGACAUUUCAAGCUAUUUGGGUGCUUGUUGUUAGCUUGCCUAUUAUUGUUAUCAAUGCACCUCAUAAUUCUAUAAAAGCUGGAGCCCCUAAAACUAUGACCACUUUGGAUACUGUUGGCUGUUGUGUGUUCAUUUUUGGCUUCAUUAUUGAAACUUUUGCUGAUUUACAAAAGUAUGCAUUUAGAAGUGAAGAAACAAAUAAAGGAAAGUGGUGUGAUGACGGUUUAUGGAGUAUGUCUAGACAUCCAAAUUAUUUUGGAGAAAUAGUAUUGUGGUGGGGUGUUUUUAUUGUGUCAUUAAAUGUGAUUAAAGGUCCAGAGUAUAUUGUUGUUAUAUCGCCAAUUUUCACAACAUUUAUCAUACUUUUUCUCUCUGGUAUUCCACACUUAGAACGAGUUUCCGAUCAUAGAUUUAGAAACAAUGCUCAUUAUCAGCUGUACAAGCGAUCCACUUCACCAUUAAUACCUAUACCGCCGUCUCUUUAUAUUGAAGUACCUGGUUUUAUUAAAAUGCUUUGUUGUUGUGAACUACCUUUAUAUAAUUGGAUGAAAGCACAUCCUUCAGAUCCUCCAGAAGCAGCUCCAGCUCCAAAAUCAUCCUAGCAAAAAAAGGGAGCGGGUGUAACUAUGGUACAGAUUACAGAUCGCUCCCAAGAAGGUCCUGUCUACUCAACAGCUACCACCUUACACGGAGCUGCUCACUUGA